GACGAACGCUGGCGGCGUGCUUAACACAUGCAAGUCGAACGGGAAGGCCCUGCUUUUGUGGGGUGCUCGAGUGGCGAACGGGUGGGUAACACGUGAGUAACCUGCCCUUGACUUUGGGAUAACUUCAGGAAAAUGGGGCUAAUAACGGAUAGGAGCUCCUGCUGCAUGGUGGGGGUUGGAAGGUUUCGGCGGUUGGGGAUGGACUGGCGGCUUAUCAGCUUGUUGGUGGGGUAGUGGUUUACCAGGGCUUUGCCGGGUAGCCGGCCUGAGGGGGUGACCGGCCACAUUGGGACUGAGUUACGGCCCAGACUCCUACGGGAGGCAGCAGAGGGGAAUAUUGCACAAUGGGCGGAAGCGUGAUGCAGCAGCGCCGCGUGCGGUAUGACGGCCUUCUGUUUGUAAGCCGCUUUCGCCUGUGACGAAGCGUGAGUGACGGUAAUGGGUAAAGAAGCACCGGCUAACUACGUG
RNAcentral lists this ribosomal RNA (468 nucleotides) under uncultured bacterium. RNAcentral describes it as "partial 16S ribosomal RNA". It matches the Rfam family "Bacterial small subunit ribosomal RNA", at positions 28 to 507 of the family's 1533-position model. The record is from RNAcentral.